This 434-nucleotide ribosomal RNA is filed under the name Yersinia enterocolitica. RNAcentral's name for it is "bacterial SSU rRNA". It matches the Rfam family "Bacterial small subunit ribosomal RNA", at positions 1 to 431 of the family's 1533-position model. The record is from RNAcentral. RNAcentral also lists the same sequence under 1 other name. Lineage: Bacteria; Pseudomonadati; Pseudomonadota; Gammaproteobacteria; Enterobacterales; Yersiniaceae.
AAAUUGAAGAGUUUGAUCAUGGCUCAGAUUGAACGCUGGCGGCAGGCCUAACACAUGCAAGUCGAGCGGCAGCGGGAAGUAGUUUACUACUUUGCCGGCGAGCGGCGGACGGGUGAGUAAUGUCUGGGAAACUGCCUGAUGGAGGGGGAUAACUACUGGAAACGGUAGCUAAUACCGCAUAACGUCUUCGGACCAAAGUGGGGGACCUUCGGGCCUCACGCCAUCGGAUGUGCCCAGAUGGGAUUAGCUAGUAGGUGGGGUAAUGGCUCACCUAGGCGACGAUCCCUAGCUGGUCUGAGAGGAUGACCAGCCACACUGGAACUGAGACACGGUCCAGACUCCUACGGGAGGCAGCAGUGGGGAAUAUUGCACAAUGGGCGCAAGCCUGAUGCAGCCAUGCCGCGUGUGUGAAGAAGGCCUUCGGGUUGUAAAGC